AGCCCAAGUCAGCAAAUCAAGGAUCAAAUAUGAUAGCUGCAGCCAUAGUCAGAUGCUGUUGCCAAGGAAGUUCACAGUGACAAGGUACAUCCAAAGUCAAGCCAGGAAAGCAUCCACAGGUCAGAAUAGAGCUCAUGACACAGCUGUGACAGUACUGGAGAUGGAUUCACCUGCCACAUAACCAGUGCCUGAAGGUGUUGGGUUUGAGCUUCAGUAAGGGUCCACAAGCAGAAGGCUUGCAGGGAGGCCUCAGGUGAGGCUGAUCAAGGCAAUUAAGGCCUGUUAGUGCAUGCAGAAAAUAAAUGGUGCUGGAGAUGUUGCUGUUCCUGAGGUAGCAGGGGGGCUUGGGACAAGCUUAGGCUGGUUCUGCAGCUGGAUACCAGGCUGACCAGCCAGCAAGUGCCACAUUGAUUAAUGAACACAGAAGUGCUAUACUAGCAGCAAAAGAAAAGCUUUUAACACUUACAGGAAUGCUUAGGCAGCUGUUUGUUUAAUUCUAAUGCUUUCCAUCGCUCUCAAACUGAAGCCUGAAUUACAGCAUACAUCUAUUUGACUGUGAGACUGAACUUCUGGGGACCAGCAGGAACAGGAAGACCAGAAGCCCAGGAUGACAACGUUGAGGCAGAUCACAAGCCCACCAUACCAAAGGAAGAAGAGCAGACCAGAGUCAAGAAAGCUUGAAGUGAUGGAAAUGAGCAACACAGGACCUGUGAUCUGCAUUCUCCGUAAGGUGUCCAAGGAACCAGGCUGUGCGUCCUCAUUCCACAGAUUGAAGGGGUUGCAUGGAUAUCCAUCAGCUGAAAGUACAGGGCUCACCUGAUCUCCCGUGAAAGCUUCUUGACAGGGAUGGGGACAAGAGGAACACUACUUUAGUCUCCUGUUUCUAGAAUGCUGAAUGCUGGGAAACAGCAGACAGACUGAUGAACGCAUUUGCAGGCUGAGUGUGCUACAGUAUGUGGACAUUGGAGGACUCUCUGACAGUAGGACUGUACUCCAAAGCAGAAUUUUUACUGCAUGUAUUUCAUCUGUAUGUAAUCAAGAUAUUUUAUUGUCUGAGUCUAUUUCUCCACUUAAACGUUGCUGUUCAGGAACUUUCAUGUUAGGGUGCUGCAACUUAAGCAUCUCUGGUUUUGUUGUCAGGUAGAGGUAUUUCUCUCCAUCGCCCUGAAGUAAAAAUUGCCCAGAGUUCAGUUGGAAGACAUUUGCCAUUUAGUUUCAUUAGGGUGAUUUGGCUCGUUGAGAAGUGGUUGCCUUUAGUUUUCUGC
This is a long non-coding RNA of Pogoniulus pusillus (Red-fronted tinkerbird), 1265 nucleotides long. RefSeq lists it as uncharacterized. NCBI's taxonomy places the organism in Eukaryota, Metazoa, Chordata, Aves, Piciformes, Lybiidae. The record is from RefSeq and is a predicted model, not a curated record. The transcript is spliced from 5 exons.